Molecule: long non-coding RNA, 330 nt
Filed under: Capsella rubella
Lineage: Eukaryota; Viridiplantae; Streptophyta; Magnoliopsida; Brassicales; Brassicaceae
Description: long non-coding RNA (CRUB_LNC003849)
Source: RNAcentral
AUAUAUAUAUAUAUUAAGUUUUGACAAAACCCGUAAACCAAAGAAAACCAAAGCAUACAAAAUUGAAUUGUCUAUGUUUUUUUUUCAUGGUUUAAUUUUUUUUAUAUAAAAAGAAACGUACGUAAAAAAGCAAAAAUAUCAUAUAAAACUUUUCCUAGUUAAAAAAAAAAAAAAAAAAAAAAAGUUUCCUAGUCGCAUACAAUAUUUAUGGGAUACUUUAUGGAUGCAUGUCUAUAUAUUACUAUAAUUAGAAAAUGAUAAUACAAAUAAGGCUAAAUUUUGAGAGUAAGACGACAUGUGCUUCAUAGGCAGAAGAAGAAAAAAAAAGUA